GAUGAAGAACGCAGCGAAAUGCGAUACGUAAUGUGAAUUGCAAAUUCAGUGAAUCAUCGAGUCUUUGAACGCACAUUGCGCCCCCUGGUAUUCCGGGGGGCAUGCCUGUCCGAGCGUCAUUGCUGCCCUCAAGCACGGCUUGUGUGUUGGGCCCCGUCCUCCGACCCCGGGGGACGGGCCCGAAAGGCAGCGGCGGCACCGCGUCCGGUCCUCGAGCGUAUGGGGCUUUGUCACCCGCUCUGUAGGCCCGGCCGGCGCUUGCCGAUCAACCCAAAUUUUUAUCCAGGUUGACCUCGGAUCAGGUAGGGAUACCCGCUGAACUUAAGCAUAUCAAUAAGCGGAGGA
Molecule: unclassified non-coding RNA, 345 nt
Filed under: soil metagenome
Description: partial contains 5.8S ribosomal RNA, internal transcribed spacer 2, and large subunit ribosomal RNA
Rfam family: 5.8S ribosomal RNA (bases 1-119)
Source: RNAcentral